UUUGAUCCUGGCUCAGGAUGAACGCUGGCGGCGUGCUUAACACAUGCAAGUCGAACGAUGAUGCUGGUGCUUGCACUGGUGGAUUAGUGGCGAACGGGUGAGUAUCACGUGAGUAACCUUCCCUUGACUCUGGGAUAAGCCCGGGAAACUGGGUCUAAUACCGGAUAUGACUGGUCUCCGCAUGGGGGCUGGUGGAAAGCUUUUGCGGUUUUGGAUGGACUCGCGGCCUAUCAGUUUGUUGGUGAGGUAAUGGCUUACCAAGACGAUGACGGGUAGCCGGCCUGAGAGGGUGACCGGCCACACUGGGACUGAGACACGGCCCAGACUCCUACGGGAGGCAGCAGUGGGGAAUAUUGCACAAUGGGCGCAAGCCUGAUGCAGCGACGCCGCGUGCGGGAUGACGGCCUUCGGGUUGUAAACCGCUUUCAGCAAGGAAGAAGCUUUUUGUGACGGUACUUGCAGAAGAAGCGCCGGCUAACUACGUGCCAGCAGCCGCGGUAAUACGUAGGGCGCGAGCGUUAUCCGGAAUUAUUGGGCGUAAAGAGCUCGUAGGCGGUUUGCCACGUCUGCUGUGAAAGCCCGGGGCUCAACCUCGGGUGUGCAGUGGGUACGGGUAGGCUGGAGUGCAGUAGGGGAGACUGGAAUUCCUGGUGUAGCGGUGAAAUGCGCAGAUAUCAGGAGGAACACCGAUGGCGAAGGCAGGUCUCUGGGCUGUUACUGACGCUGAGGAGCGAAAGCAUGGGGAGCGAACAGGAUUAGAUACCCUGGUAGUCCAUGCCGUAAACGUUGGGCACUAGGUGUGGGGGACAUUCCACGUUUUCCGCGCCGUAGCUAACGCAUUAAGUGCCCCGCCUGGGGAGUACG
Molecule: ribosomal RNA, 864 nt
Filed under: uncultured Nesterenkonia sp.
Lineage: Bacteria; Bacillati; Actinomycetota; Actinomycetes; Micrococcales; Micrococcaceae
Description: bacterial SSU rRNA
Rfam family: Bacterial small subunit ribosomal RNA
Source: RNAcentral